GAGCUUAUAGUUCAACGGUUAGAACGUCCCGCUCAUAACGGGAGAAUGUAGGUUCGAUUCCUACUAAGCUUA
RNAcentral lists this transfer RNA (72 nucleotides) under Nephroselmis olivacea. RNAcentral's name for it is "tRNA-Ile". It matches the Rfam family "tRNA". From Rfam's summary of the family: Transfer RNA (tRNA) molecules are approximately 80 nucleotides in length. Their secondary structure includes four short double-helical elements and three loops (D, anti-codon, and T loops). Lineage: Eukaryota; Viridiplantae; Chlorophyta; Nephroselmidophyceae; Nephroselmidales; Nephroselmidaceae. The record is from RNAcentral.